RNAcentral lists this ribosomal RNA (497 nucleotides) under uncultured bacterium. Its description in RNAcentral is "partial 16S ribosomal RNA". It matches the Rfam family "Bacterial small subunit ribosomal RNA", at positions 28 to 507 of the family's 1533-position model. The record is from RNAcentral.
GAUGAACGCUGGCGGCGUGCCUAAUACAUGCAAGUCGAGCGAACGGACGAGAAGCUUGCUUCUCUGAUGUUAGCGGCGGACGGGUGAGUAACACGUGGAUAACCUACCUAUAAGACUGUGAUAACUUCGGGAAACCGGAGCUAAUACCGGAUAAUAUUUUGAACCGCAUGGUUCAAAAGUGAAAGACGGUCUUGCUGUCACUUAUAGAUGGAUCCGCGCUGCAUUAGCUAGUUGGUAAGGUAACGGCUUACCAAGGCAACGAUGCAUAGCCGACCUGAGAGGGUGAUCGGCCACACUGGAACUGAGACACGGUCCAGACUCCUACGGGAGGCGGCAGUAGGGAAUCUUCCGCAAUGGGCGAAAGCCUGACGGAGCAACGCCGCGUGAGUGAUGAAGGUCUUCGGAUCGUAAAACUCUGUUAUUAGGGAAGAACAUAUGUGUAAGUAACUGUGCACAUCUUGACGGUACCUAAUCAGAAAGCCACGGCUAACUACGUG